RNAcentral lists this ribosomal RNA (813 nucleotides) under invertebrate metagenome. RNAcentral's name for it is "bacterial SSU rRNA". It matches the Rfam family "Bacterial small subunit ribosomal RNA", at positions 163 to 960 of the family's 1533-position model. The record is from RNAcentral.
CUAAUACCGGAUAAGAUGAUACCUAUAUAAGUAGCAGUCAUUAAAGAUGGGGACCUUCGGGCCUAUCACCAGAAGAUGAGUCCGCGGCCCAUUAGCUAGUUGGUGGGGUAAUGGCCUACCAAGGCUGCGAUGGGUAGCCGGCCUGAGAGGGUGAACGGCCACAUUGGGACUGAGAUACGGCCCAGACUCCUACGGGAGGCAGCAGUUAAGAAUCUUGCGCAAUGGGCGAAAGCCUGACGCAGCGACGCCGCGUGGACGAUGAAGGCCUUCGGGUUGUAAAGUCCAAUAAGUAGGGAAGAAUAAGCAAGAGGUAAUAUUUCUUGUGAUGACGGUACCUACCUAAAGCCCCGGCUAACUACGUGCCAGCAGCCGCGGUAAUACGUAUGGGGCGAGCGUUGUUCGGAAUUAUUGGGCAUAAAGGGCGUCUAGGUGGGGGAUUAAGUUAGGUGUGAAAGCCAUGGGCUCAACCCGUGAAUUGCAUCUAAAACUGAUUCUCUUGAGUUCGGGAGAGGAGAGCGGAAUUCCUGGUGUAGCGGUGAAAUGCGUAGAUAUCAGGAAGAACACCAGUGGCGAAGGCGGCUCUCUGGCCUAUAACUGACGCUAAAGCACGAAAGCGUGGGGAGCGAACGGGAUUAGAUACCCCGGUAGUCCACGCCGUAAACGUUGUAUACUAGGUGUUAGUAACUUGUUUGCUAGUGCCGCAGUUAACGCAUUAAGUAUACCGCCUGGGGAGUACGGCCGCAAGGCUUAAACUCAAAGAAAUUGACGGGGGCCCGAACAAGCGGUGGAGCAUGUGGUUUAAUUCGAUGAUAC